Molecule: ribosomal RNA, 490 nt
Filed under: uncultured bacterium
Lineage: Bacteria
Description: partial 16S ribosomal RNA
Rfam family: Bacterial small subunit ribosomal RNA
Source: RNAcentral
GAUGAACGCUAGCGAUAGGCUUAACACAUGCAAGUCGAGGGGCAGCAUGGUCUUAGCUUGCUAAGACUGAUGGCGACCGGCGCACGGGUGCGUAACGCGUAUGCAACUUGCCUCACAGAGGGGGAUAACCCGUCGAAAGACGGACUAAUACCGCGUACACUCCAUCUUGGGCAUCCAAGGUAGAGGAAAUGAAAUUCGCUGUGAGAUAGGCAUGCGUCCCAUUAGCUAGUUGGUGAGGUAACGGCUCACCAAGGCGACGAUGGGUAGGGGAACUGAGAGGGUGCACCCCCACGCUGGUACUGAGACACGGACCAGACUCCUACGGGAGGCAGCAGUGAGGAAUAUUGGUCAAUGGGCGAGAGCCUGAACCAGCCAAGUCGCGUGAAGGAUGACUGUCUUAUGGAUUGUAAACUUCUUUUAUACGGGAAUAACAAGAGUCACGUGUGACUCCCUGCAUGUACCGUAUGAAUAAGCAUCGGCUAACUCCGUG